CUACGGGUGGCUGCAGUCGAGGAAAUUUUACAAUGCUCGAAAGAGUGAUAGAAUGAGUCAGAGUGUUUCUCUUAGAGAAACUUUUAUCUGUUGUAAAAAGACAGAUGAAUAAGGACUGGGAAAGACCGGUGCCAGCCGCCGCGGUAAUACCGGCGGUCCAAGUUGCAUCCACAUUUAUUGGGUCUAAAACAUUCGUAGCUUGUUUUAUAAGUCUCUUGUGAAAUUCUAUAUCUUAAGUAUAGAGCGUGCAAGAGAUACUAUAUUACUAGAGACCGGAAGACGCAAAGAGUAUGAUUGAGGUAGCGGUAAAAUGUGUUAAUCUCAAUCAGACUAACAACAGCGAAGGCACUUUGCGAGUACGGAUCUGACAGUGAGGAAUGAAGGCUAGGGGCGCAAAGCGGAUUAGAUACCCCGGUAGUC
This 420-nucleotide ribosomal RNA is filed under the name uncultured archaeon. Its description in RNAcentral is "partial 16S ribosomal RNA". It matches the Rfam family "Archaeal small subunit ribosomal RNA", at positions 323 to 746 of the family's 1478-position model. The record is from RNAcentral.